Molecule: non-coding RNA, 109 nt
Filed under: uncultured Phascolarctobacterium sp.
Lineage: Bacteria; Bacillati; Bacillota; Negativicutes; Acidaminococcales; Acidaminococcaceae
Description: Glycine riboswitch
Rfam family: Glycine riboswitch aptamer
About the family: This family represents the bacterial glycine riboswitch. Glycine riboswitches usually consist of two metabolite-binding aptamers domains with similar structures in tandem. The aptamers cooperatively bind glycine to regulate the expression of downstream genes.
Source: RNAcentral
ACACAACUCUGGAGAGUCCCUUAAAUGGGCGCCGAAGGUGCAAAGCUUGCUGCGAGGGAACACAAUAAUGUGCGUAGCAAACUAAUCUCUCAGGCCAAAGGACGGAGCA